AGACUCCAGGCCAAUCCUGGAGGGUUGGCAACCCUACUUAUUUCCAAUGUCACACAAACCAGUGUUGUAAAACCUUCCUUUGUAAAAUGUAUUGAUUGACUCAAACAACUGUUUCUGUAUUAUCAGAGCUUUGCCAUCUAGCUGGAUGUUCAUGAUGUCUUUUGCAUUUUAAUUUCUUCGCAAUUUUUGUCAUUGGAAACAUAACAUUGACUGACUGGAUUUCCCUUCUAAUAUCCGUGACUGACAGCUUGUAACUUCCCUUCGUGUUACUGCUGACUAACACACCCUGCUAGCUAUGUACUGGUUUGGGAUGAAGAGCAGUGACUACAGAACUUUCGGAUGCAGAAAGCCACCUUUCUGGAACUGUGUGCGGAGCUCACCCCAGACCUGCAGCGCAAAGACACCAAAAUGAGAGCUGCUCUCUCGGUAGAGAAGCAUGUGGCAAUCGUUGUGUAGAACUCCAGACUGCUACCGGUCAGUGGCAGAUCAACUUGGAAUGGGGAAGUCAACCGUUGGGACUGUGUUAAUGCAAAUGUGCAGAGCAAUUAAUCGCAUCCUGCUACAAAGGACUGUGAUUCUGGGAAAUGUGCAUGAAAUACUGGAUGGCUUUGCAGAAAUGGGGUUCCCUAACUGUGGAGGGACAAUAGAUGGCACACAUAUUCCAAUUUGGAAUCAGACCACCUUGCGACAGAGUACAUCAAUAGGAAGGGGCACUUCUCCAUGGUAU
Mauremys reevesii (Reeves's turtle) is the source of this 727-nucleotide long non-coding RNA. RefSeq lists it as uncharacterized. The transcript is spliced from 3 exons. Lineage: Eukaryota; Metazoa; Chordata; Testudines; Geoemydidae. The record is from RefSeq and is a predicted model, not a curated record.